Molecule: ribosomal RNA, 433 nt
Filed under: uncultured bacterium
Lineage: Bacteria
Description: partial 16S ribosomal RNA
Rfam family: Bacterial small subunit ribosomal RNA
Source: RNAcentral
AACGAACGCUGGCGGCAUGCCUAACACAUGCAAGUCGAACGAUGCCUUCGGGCAUAGUGGCGCACGGGUGCGUAACGCGUGGGAAUCUGCCUUUCGGUUCGGAAUAACUCAGGGAAACUUGAGCUAAUACCGGAUAACGUCGCAAGACCAAAGAUUUAUCACCGAAAGAUGAGCCCGCGUAGGAUUAGCUAGUUGGUGAGGUAAAGGCUCACCAAGGCGACGAUCCUUAGCUGGUCUGAGAGGAUGAUCAGCCACACUGGGACUGAGACACGGCCCAGACUCCUACGGGAGGCAGCAGUGGGGAAUAUUAGACAAUGGGCGAAAGCCUGAUCCAGCAAUGCCGCGUGAGUGAUGAAGGCCUUAGGGUUGUAAAGCUCUUUUACCCGGGAAGAUAAUGACGGUACCGGGAGAAUAAGCCCCGGCUAACUCCGUG